CUCCUUUCUAAGGAUGGUUCUUCAGAAGCUUGCUUCUAUCGAACCGUUUUAGAAACAUCAGUGGCCAACGAUCGUCAGGAUUGUUGAGCUGCAUUGGCGGGAUUUCGCCGUCUUCGUUUCUCUUUCUUCGCGGACGAACACGCGCUGGGGCUGCAACCUUGCAGAAUCCCUGGUCCUUGACUGGAUAUGCGUUAGGGGCUUGUAGCUCAGUUGGUUAGAGCGCGCGCUUGAUAAGCGUGAGGUCGGAAGUUCAAGUCUUCCCAGGCCCACCACACUCAUCGAGUGAGCAUUCGUCUUCUGGUUACGGGGCCAUAGCUCAGCUGGGAGAGCGCGUGCUUUGCAAGCAUGAGGUCGUCGGUUCGAUCCCGUCUGGCUCCACCAGAUGGUUUGAUCAUCGACUGAUCGUGCACCUGAAUCGUCCGCGAAACAUCACUUCGCACUUACUAGUCCGGAUGGACAGUAAGCUGCGUGAUUUCUGACAUCGUAAAGAGGAGAUCGAUCCGAGUUGGAUCGGGCAACAAGCAAUUGUUGCGCGAUACUUCAUUAUCUCCGGAUCAUUUCGGCGCUCGUGCGCCUUUCAAUGUAGCUCACAAGGCUGCGUCUGAGAGACAUGCGAGUUGUAAAUGAUCCUUUUAGCGAAGCUUGACCGCCUCGCUAUCGGAACGAUCUUACGAAGCAAGCUGGUCUUUCUAAUCAUUGUCCGGCUGUGAGAAUAGCGUUCAUCGAGGACGCGCGCCGCAAG
RNAcentral lists this transfer RNA (742 nucleotides) under Bradyrhizobium sp. RNAcentral's name for it is "partial miscellaneous RNA". The stretch from base 196 to 269 matches the Rfam family "tRNA". Lineage: Bacteria; Pseudomonadati; Pseudomonadota; Alphaproteobacteria; Hyphomicrobiales; Nitrobacteraceae. The record is from RNAcentral.